GUCCACAUGAAGUUAUAUGUGGUCUAGUCUGCCCACUGAAUAUUUAAAGGCCGCAGUAUAUUAACUGUGCGAAGGUAGCAUAAUAAUUAGUUUUUUAAUUGAAAACUUGAAUGAACGGCUGCACGAGGAAUGAACUGUUUCUAGAUUUAAUUUAAAACUUUACUUUUAAGUGAAAAGGCUUAAAUAAAUUUAAGGGACGAUAAGACCCUGUAAAUCUUUAUAAGUAAAUUUUAAAACAUUUAUAAUUAAAGUUUUGUCAAUUUAAAAUAAAACUUAUUAUGUUGGGGUGACAAGGAUAUUUAUUUUAAAUAACUAUGCUAAUUUAAAACAUAAAUUUUUGAGUACUUCUAAAAGAUCCUUAAAAUAAUAAAGAGUCAGAAAAUAAGAUACUUUAGGGAUAACAGCGUAAUUUUUUUAAAGAGUUCUUAUCGAAAAAAAAGUUUACGACCUCGAUGUUGAAUUAAAAUUUCUUGCCAGUGUAGAAGCUAGUUAAGUGAGUCUGUUCGACUUUUGAAAUUUU
This 520-nucleotide ribosomal RNA is filed under the name Phylladiorhynchus orpheus. Its description in RNAcentral is "partial large subunit ribosomal RNA". It matches the Rfam family "Archaeal large subunit ribosomal RNA", at positions 1921 to 2666 of the family's 2987-position model. The record is from RNAcentral. Lineage: Eukaryota; Metazoa; Arthropoda; Malacostraca; Decapoda; Galatheidae.